CUAUACUAUUCAGAGUUUGAUCCUGGCUCAGGAUGAACGCUAGCGGCAGGCCUAACACAUGCAAGUCGAGGGGCAACGAGGAGUAGCAAUACUCUGUCGGCGACCGGCGCACGGGUGCGUAACGCGUAUGCGACCUACCUAUAACAGGGAGAUAACCCAGAGAAAUUUGGACUAAUAUCCCAUAUUAUUAUUGAGCUGCAUGGUUUGAUAAUGAAAGACGCGAGUUGGUUAUAGAUGGGCAUGCGUGACAUUAGCUAGUUGGUAAGGUAACGGCUUACCAAGGCGACGAUGUCUAGGGGAACUGAGAGGUUAAUCCCCCACACUGGUACUGAGACACGGACCAG
Molecule: ribosomal RNA, 344 nt
Filed under: uncultured bacterium
Lineage: Bacteria
Description: bacterial SSU rRNA
Rfam family: Bacterial small subunit ribosomal RNA
Source: RNAcentral